UCUACCUUACCUUCUCAUCAAAUGAUGCUUGAACUAAACAUAGUUUAGUGCAUAGGACAGAUAUAUAUUUUGAGUUUUUCUCUCAUAUGAAAAAUAACCAUAUAUAACUUGUUGGUAUUGUAAUGCACCCAGCAACCCUUUCAGAAAAAAAUAUUUUAUAAAAAUUGUUAAAGAAAAAAGUCUGAUUGAUAUCUUUAGAGAUAAGUUCUCCCUCACAACACACAGAGAUUAAUAGAUCAUAAAUUGAUCAAAUGUUUUUUUCUCAAAAAUGUACUGUACUUAGGAAUGAGACAAGAACACAGUGUGUGAAUUAUUAUACACUCAAGACAAACCUCAUUUAAUUUGUCAUGUGAUUCCUUUGGGUUUUAGCAAGAGGACUUUAAUUUCAGCUCUAGUGAGUUCUCAAUCUUCAGAAAUUAACUUUGAUACCAUCUGAAAUUAAGAGUAUCAACUUAUUGUAUACAUACACCUUAGUUACCAGUGCAUAUUAUUAAAUUUAUAUUUAUUUAUUUAUUUAUUUUUUAUUGUUAUUUCCCCCAACACACUUUUUUCCCCACUCUACAGCAUGGGAACCCAGUUACAUAUACAAGUAUAUGUAAAUUUUUUCUCCCAUUGUCAUGCUGUGUUUUAAGUAUCUAGACACAGUUCUCAGUGCUACACAGCAGGAUCUCAUUGUUAAUCCAUUCCAAGAGCAAGAGUUUGCAUCUGUUGACCCCAAGCUCCCAGUCCAUCCCACUCCCUCCCCCUCCCACUUGGCAACCACAAGUCUAUUCUCCAAAUUCAUGAUUCUCUUUUCUGUGGAAAGAUUCAUUUGUGCUGUAUGUUAGAUACCAGAUAUGAGUGAUAUCAUGUGGUAUUCGUCUUUCUCCUUCUGACUUACUUCAUUCAGUAUGAGAGUCUCUAGUUCCAUCCAUGUUGCUGCAAAUGGUGUUGUUUCGUUCAGUCUUUUUUAUGGCUGAGUAGCAUUCCAUUGUGUAUACAUACCACAUCUUCCUAAUUCAAUCAUCAGUUAGUGGCCAUUUGGGUUGUUUCCAUGCCUUGGCUGUUGUCAAUAGAGCUGCAGUGAACAUGCAGGUGCAUAUGUCUUUUUUUAGGGAAAGUUUUGCCGUCCAAAUAGGAAGAGAAGAGAUAAAACUGUCACUGUAUGCAGAUGACAUGAUACUAUACAUAGAAAACCCUAAUUGAUAGAUAGAAGGAAUAAAAAGAGCUGGCGUCUACCCUCAAGGAUUCCGUAGUCAGGUGGGGAAGUCAAGAACAGUAAGGCUCCCAAGGGUAGAAAGAAAUGCUAAUAAAGAGUAAAAUGCUCAGUUUUGUAUUUGUGAUGAUAUGUUUUUGUUGAGCUUUAUUCAGUGAAGUGUCAGUGUCCACUGCCUUUUGCAAUAGAGAGUAUUGGAGUAUAGAUAGUAUUGGAGUAUCGGUCCUCUUUACUGGAUGGGGCGUCCAUCCCCCAGCUACGUCAGCAGCAUAGGGCUCACAGCUGCCCCAGUAUCUGGACCCCUGCCUUUAGUUUCUUGGAAUUGCACCUCCCCACCCCAAGAGUGCAGAAGGCUGGUCCCCAUGGCUCAGUCACAGAAUAGAUUUAUGUUCUAUUAGGUCCUAUGGCUACUGAGUGCUUGUAAUGUGUCUAGGAGCUGAAUUUUUAAUCUUAUGAAUUUUAAUCACCUUAAAUAGCCAUAGGUGGCUGGUGGUUACUCUCUUGAUUAGCACACUUCUGUGUUAAAAUGUGUGUUGCCAGACUUGUCCAUUGGCUAAAACAACUCCCAGGACCAUAGAAAGCCAAGAGCUCUUGUUGAGGCUGGUUCCCACCUGUGGCUUGAUUGUUAAUGUGUUAUGACCCACAGCAUUAUUGUCCUAUAAUCUGUCCCAGGGGGUUACUAACUGAAGUGUGGCAUUGCUUCUUUUGCUGUGAUAUUAGACUUAUGGAAGAAUUCCUAAUUAUUGUUCUCCUGGAGCUUCUGAGUGAGAUAAUAGAGUUUGGUCUUUAAGGAAGCUGAUAUUCCUGUUGUUGGACCAAAGGCAUUCCAAAUGCUAGUCUGGAACAUUUUUCAAAGAAGGAAGGGGACUUCCCGUUGUGGUUCAGUGAGUUAAGAACCUGAAAUAAUGUCUAUGAGGAGGCACAAGGCAUGCACAUGAGGAUUGCUGGCCUUGCUCAGUGGGUUAAGGGUCAUGUUGCUGCAAUCUGCAGUGUAGGUCACAGCUUCAGCUCAGAUCCAGGGUUUCUAUGGCUGUUGUGUAGACCUCAGCUGCAGGUCCACUUUGAUCCCUAGCCUGGGAACUUCCAUGUGCCACAGAUGCAGCUCUAGAAAGAAAAUUAAAAAAAAAAAAGUAUGAAGGAAUAAUAGAGAAUGAAAAUGUGAGGCCUCCUUUGAUGACCUGAUCCAUUCCUGGAACCAUUCUAAUUUGGAUUUGGGCCCAGUAGAGCAUCUUUGAUUUGUAAAUAAAGGGCCAGGUUUGGUUGAUUCAGUGAGGAAGGGUACAGUACAAAGUAAUAAAUGAGAAAAACUUUAAAAACUAUGUGUUAGUAGAAGCUAAGAAAAUAAAUACUUCCUGUCACAAAUCUACUGUGAAAUUUGAGCAGAUGAAU
This 2584-nucleotide long non-coding RNA is filed under the name Sus scrofa (pig). RNAcentral describes it as "lncRNA (ENSSSCG00050028765.1)". Lineage: Eukaryota; Metazoa; Chordata; Mammalia; Artiodactyla; Suidae. The record is from RNAcentral.